RNAcentral lists this ribosomal RNA (253 nucleotides) under uncultured bacterium. Its description in RNAcentral is "partial 16S ribosomal RNA". It matches the Rfam family "Bacterial small subunit ribosomal RNA", at positions 524 to 776 of the family's 1533-position model. The record is from RNAcentral.
UACAGAGGGUGCGAGCGUUAAUCGGAAUUACUGGGCGUAAAGCGUGCGCAGGCGGCUUUGCAAGACAGAUGUGAAAUCCCCGGGCUUAACCUGGGAACUGCAUUUGUGACUGCAAGGCUAGAGUACGGUAGAGGGGGAUGGAAUUCCGCGUGUAGCAGUGAAAUGCGUAGAUAUGCGGAGGAACACCGAUGGCGAAGGCAAUCCCCUGGACCUGUACUGACGCUCAUGCACGAAAGCGUGGGGAGCAAACAGG